Cherax quadricarinatus is the source of this 589-nucleotide long non-coding RNA. RefSeq lists it as uncharacterized. The record is from RefSeq and is a predicted model, not a curated record. Lineage: Eukaryota; Metazoa; Arthropoda; Malacostraca; Decapoda; Parastacidae.
AGCCCCGAAUAGUCCACCUGAUCACAACACUUCAAAUUUCAGGACUACGGACCUGGUGUGUUGUGCUCUACAACUCAGCGACGCAUCGUUCACUACAAGCUACAAGGUGGUCGACUCCGGGAUUCACUAACAAUAUUUAGCAUCGUCAUACCUCGUCACUCCAUUUGUCUGUCACUAAAUUGAAUGAACUACCGACCUGGUGUGUUGAGCUUCACAACUCAGCGACGCAUCGUUCACUACAAGCUUCAAGGUGGUCGACUCUGGGAUUCACUAACAGUAUUUAAGGUCGUCAUAGUUCGUCACUCCAUUUGUCCGUCACUUACUGAACCGAGAGGUGGUGUUUGAUGCUCCGUACCUCCUCACUACGAAAAAUCAUGAAGAUGAACUGGCAUUGCUCAAUAGAUUAAAAUAUGUGAUUCCCUCAGUGUUCUACAAGCCAUUAAACAAUUUGAUUUCCCUCAUCCAUUGGUCCUUCGUAUUCAACUAAGGUUGCGUCGUGUGGCUAGCAAAACCAAAGACGUCUUUUUCUGUUGGAUCACUGGACAUGUUGAUGUGCGGGGCGAUGAACAAGUGGAUGCUGCUGCAUGGU